UACGUAGGGGGCUAGCGUUGUCCGGAUUUAUUGGGCGUAAAGAGCGUGUAGGCGGCCAGGUAGGUCUGCUGUGAAAACUCGAGGCUCAACCUCGAGACGUCGGCGGAAACCAUCUGGCUAGAGUCCGGAAGAGGAGAGUGGAAUUCCUGGUGUAGCGGUGAAAUGCGCAGAUAUCAGGAGGAACACCGGUGGCGAAGGCGGCAUCCUGGACCGACACUGACACUGAGGAGCGAAAGCCAGGGGAGCAAACGGG
RNAcentral lists this ribosomal RNA (253 nucleotides) under uncultured bacterium. RNAcentral describes it as "partial 16S ribosomal RNA". It matches the Rfam family "Bacterial small subunit ribosomal RNA", at positions 524 to 776 of the family's 1533-position model. The record is from RNAcentral.